Peromyscus maniculatus bairdii (prairie deer mouse) is the source of this 522-nucleotide long non-coding RNA. RefSeq lists it as uncharacterized. NCBI's taxonomy places the organism in Eukaryota, Metazoa, Chordata, Mammalia, Rodentia, Cricetidae. The record is from RefSeq and is a predicted model, not a curated record.
GGCAAUCAUAGCCCCUCAGUAUGUAUCUGUUCAAAGGAUGAAUGAAUAAAUAAAUGAGGAUCUAGUGGUUGCAAUGACUGUGACUUGGCAGGACCCAUAAAAAUGGAACUUAUGCUCAGAGCUAUAACAAGAGAGAUGAGAAGUUUAAAGACCCCGAGUCACUGAGCCACAGGACCCUCUAUAAUUAUUGACCAGAUCCGCUAGCCUGUGCACUACGAAGGAGAAAUGAUUAACCAGGACAUAUGUGCCCAGCGAAGUGCUUGGCAGUGUGGUGAAGACAGAGCAUCUGAAAAGCGUAUUUGUUCUCCAGAAGUUUGUUAUUUGGUGGUAAUAUCAGGUAUUUGUCUUAUUGUUGCAAAACAAAAGAAAACAGAACAAAACAAAGCAAAUCAAAACCUUGCAACAAGACUUGGGAACAAAGGGAUUAUUCUAGUUCAUAGUAUGGAAGUUUAGUCUCUCAUGGCAGGGCAGACAUAGCUACCGGAACCUAAUGGAGUUGGUCCCUUUGAAUCUCCAGAGAAU